Molecule: ribosomal RNA, 511 nt
Filed under: uncultured bacterium
Lineage: Bacteria
Description: bacterial SSU rRNA
Rfam family: Bacterial small subunit ribosomal RNA
Source: RNAcentral
UAGUCCACGCCGUAAACGAUGAAUGCUAGAUGUUGGGAGAUUUGACCCUUUCAGUAUCGCAGUUAACGCAUUAAGCAUUCCGCCUGGGGAGUACGGUCGCAAGAUUAAAACUCAAAGGAAUUGACGGGGACCCGCACAAGCGGUGGAGCAUGUGGUUUAAUUCGACGCAACGCGCAAAACCUUACCUGGGUUUAAACUGCAGUGGACCGGUACAGAGAUGUACCUUUCCUUCGGGACUGCUGUAGAGAUGCUGCAUGGUUGUCGUCAGCUCGUGCCGUGAGGUGUUGGGUUAAGUCCCGCAACGAGCGCAACCCCUAUCGUUAGUUGCCAGCAUUAAGUUGGGGACUCUAACGAGACUGCCUACGCAAGUAGUGAGGAAGGCGGGGAUGACGUCAAGUCCUCAUGGCCCUUACGGGCUGGGCUACACACGUGCUACAAUGGUGGUGACAGUGGGCAGCGAGAUCGCAAGGUCGAGCUAAUCUCCAAAAACCAUCUCAGUUCGGAUUGUCCU